AAUAUAAAUCUCUUCAAUAAUAAACUUAAAAGUAAAUAAAGCUUAGACAACAGAAUUUAUAAUCUUGAGGAGGUGAUCCUCCUCUCUUCUGGGUGGUGGAGCUCACUAGAAGAGAACAAAGAGCAUGAACAAGCAGACAAAAUAAAAUAACAAAAAAUGAGUUGGAAAUGGAAACAAUGCUUUAUAUCUUUUCUGGAAAUGUUUCUUCAAUUGUUUAAUAUUGCCUUGUGUUCAGGAAAGAAUAACAUAUAUAUAUAGCAUUACCACUAAUUUUUAAAGAGUUUUAUCUCACUGAGUGCCAAUGAAAAAGGCAUUCUUUUGCAGAUAGCCUUUGAGGUCUUGAUUACAUGUUAUGAGUAAUAAUUUAUGUGAUUAAAAAUGACAAAAUUCAUAAUUAGAAAAAUAAGGGAAAGAGAGGUUUGUUUAAAUAAUGAACCUUUUAGAAUAUAUGGUAUAGAAUUCUUUGUUCUUUUUCGGUUUAUAUAUAGCACAUAACACAACAAAAGAAAGAAAUAUGCAUAUAUAUCCGUAU
This 532-nucleotide unclassified non-coding RNA is filed under the name Hevea brasiliensis (rubber tree). Lineage: Eukaryota; Viridiplantae; Streptophyta; Magnoliopsida; Malpighiales; Euphorbiaceae. The record is from RNAcentral.